AUAUAUAUAUAUAUAUAUUUCAUUCUGAUCACAUUGAAAAUAGAAUGACUAAUGCUUUGAUUCUGCUAUUAUAAAUAACUAGAUCAUUAUGUACUCCAACUAGCAGAACUCACGCUUGAAUGCAACAAGAAGCAGAAGUUGUUCAAUUUGAAAGGAAUUGCUGUAAGCAAUAAUAACAACGAAAAAGAUCCCAAUUUUUUUUGUUUAUUUACAAAAAUUCUGUUAUUCAUUAGCAUUCAGCUUGAGUCCCUUCUUUCUGAAUUUAUAUUAGGGUGCAACGGAAGGCAUUUGUACAUUUCGGUCGAAGAUACUAAUGAAAAACUGAUAAUCCCAUUUAUAAUUCAUGCAAAAUCAUAUUUUCUAGCACAACCUUUUUCAAAUAUGUGGACCAUUUUUCACUUCAACAAGCAGGAAAUCUAUUCAUUGGUUUAGGAACGGCAGCAGAUAGAAUAUCCUUGGAAAUAAUUAAUAUUAUCAAUAUCCGAAUCUCUCUUAUUCGAUUAUUAUUAUCUAAAAAAUUUUAAAAAAUAUUAAACCUGCU
Molecule: unclassified non-coding RNA, 541 nt
Filed under: Hevea brasiliensis (rubber tree)
Lineage: Eukaryota; Viridiplantae; Streptophyta; Magnoliopsida; Malpighiales; Euphorbiaceae
Source: RNAcentral